This 335-nucleotide ribosomal RNA is filed under the name uncultured Planctomycetales bacterium. RNAcentral's name for it is "bacterial SSU rRNA". It matches the Rfam family "Bacterial small subunit ribosomal RNA", at positions 473 to 806 of the family's 1533-position model. The record is from RNAcentral. Lineage: Bacteria; Pseudomonadati; Planctomycetota; Planctomycetia; Planctomycetales.
CUAAGGCUCCAGAGGAAGCCACGGCUAACUCUGUGCCAGCAGCCGCGGUAAUACAGAGGCGGCAAGCGUUGUUCGGAAUUAUUGGGCGUAAAGAGCACGUAGGCGGCCUUGCAAGCCAGUUGUGAAAGCCUUCCGCUUAACGGAAGAAUGCCAGCUGAUACUACAGGGCUUGAGUACGGGAGGGGAGAGUGGAACUUCUGGUGGAGCGGUGAAAUGCGCAGAUAUCAGAAGGAACGCCGGCGGCGAAAGCGACUCUCUGGCCCGAAACUGACGCUGAGUGUGCGAAAGCUAGGGGAGCAAACGGGAUUAGAUACCCCGGUAGUCCUAGCCGUAAA